GGGUUAUUUGGGGUCCUUAUGGGGGUCAUUAGUGAUCUCUAUUGAUUUUUGGCUCUCAUAUGCGGGUUAUUUGUUUGGGCCUCUAUGGGGUUAUUUGGGGUCUCUAUGGGGUUUAUUUGGGCCUGUAUGGGGUUAUUUGGGGUCCUUAUGGGGUCAUUUGUGAUCUCUAUGGUGUUAUUUGGGGUCUCUAUGGGGUCAUUUGGGGCCUCUAUGGGGUCAUUUGGGGUCUCUAUGGGGUCAUUUGGGGCCUCUAUGGGGUCAUUUUGAGGUCUCUAUGGGGUCACUUUGCUUUGGAGGUCCAUAUGGGGUCACUAUGGGGUCUGUAUGGAGUUAUUUGGGGUCUCAGUGGGGUCAUUUGGGGUCCUUAUGGGGUCAUUUGGAGUCUCUAUGGGGUCUCUGUGGGGUCAGUUUGGGAUCCCUAUGGGGUCGCUUUGCUUUGGGUUCCCUAUGGGGUCAUUUUGAGGCCUCUAUGAGUUCUCUAUGGGGUCUUUUGGGGUCUCUAUGGGGUCAUUUUGGGGCCUGUAUGGGGUUAUUUGGGGUCCUUAUGGGGUCAUUUUAGUGUCUCUAUGGGGUUGCUUUGCUUUGGGGUCUCUGUGGGGUCAUUUGGGGUCCCUAUGGGGUCCCAUUGGGGUCUAUUGGGAUCCCUUUAGGGUCCCUUUGGGGUCCCAUUGGGGUCUAUUUGGGGACCCAUUAGGGUCUCUUUGAAGUCCCAUUGGGGUCUCUUUGGGAUCCCUUUAGGGUACCAUUGGGAUUGCUUUUCUUUAGGGUCCCAUUGGGAUCCAUUUAGGGUCUCUUUGGGAUCCCAUUGGGGUUGCUUUCCUUUAGGGUCCCUUUAGGGUCUCUUUGGGGUCCCUUUGGUGUCCCAUUGGGGUCUCUUUGGGAUCCCUUUGGGGUCCCAUUGGGGUCUAUUGGGAUCCCUUUAGGGUCCCAUUGGGGUCUAUUGGGAUCCCUUUAGGGUCCCAUUGGGGUCUAUUGGGAUCCCUUUAGGGUCCCAUUGGGGUCCCUUUGGGGUUGCUUUCCUUUAGGGUCCCAUUGGGAUCCCAUUGGGGUCCCUUUAGGGUCCCUUUAGGGUCUAUUCGGGAUCCCUUUAGGGUCUAUUGGGUUCCCUUUAGGGUACCUUUAGGGUCCCAUUGGGGUCCCUUUGUGGCCCCACUAGGGUCCCUUUGGGGUCUCUUUGGGGUCCCAUUUGGGUCUAUUGGGAUCCCUUUAGGGUCCCAUUGGGGUCAAUUUUGGAUCUCUUUAGGGUCUCUUUGGGGUCCCAUUGGGGUCUAUUGGGAUCCCAUUGGGGUCCCAUUGGGGUUGCUCUCCUUUAGGGUCCCAUUGAUGUCCCAUUGGGGUCCCUUUAAGGUCCCAUUGGGAUCCCAUUGGGGUCUAUUGGGAUCCCUUUAGGGUCCCUUUGGGGUCCCAUUGGGGUCUAUUGGGAUCCCUUUAGGGUCCCAUUGGGGUCCCAUUGGGGUUGCUUUCCUCUAGGGU
RNAcentral lists this long non-coding RNA (1473 nucleotides) under Coturnix japonica (Japanese quail). Its description in RNAcentral is "lncRNA (ENSCJPG00005002051.1)". The record is from RNAcentral. Lineage: Eukaryota; Metazoa; Chordata; Aves; Galliformes; Phasianidae.